GUUCUUGUAGUUAAAUGAUAACGGUGGUUUUUCAAGUCACUGAUCCUGGUUAGAGUCCGGGCAGGAAUU
RNAcentral lists this transfer RNA (69 nucleotides) under Zenion japonicum (Japanese dory). RNAcentral's name for it is "tRNA-Glu". It matches the Rfam family "tRNA". Rfam says of the family: Transfer RNA (tRNA) molecules are approximately 80 nucleotides in length. Their secondary structure includes four short double-helical elements and three loops (D, anti-codon, and T loops). Lineage: Eukaryota; Metazoa; Chordata; Actinopteri; Zeiformes; Zenionidae. The record is from RNAcentral.